GGGGGUGUAAAGGUUUCGACGGGGAUAGAGAAGUAAGUUAAGCAGGUGGUUGUGCGGAGCAACCUUAAAAUCCGUAAUUUUAAAUUUAAACGCUAACGAUAAUUUAGCUUACGCUGCCUAAUUAAGGCGGCCGUCUGACUCGUAUUACCGUGGUAUGAGAAUCAGGCGUUGACUACACGGUGCACAUGAGUAUGCAAAGCUUUGAGCAUACCAGGAACAAUGAAGCUACCAAGGAAAGAGCCUUGUUUGCGGGACACUUUCUGAGGGAAUUUCUAACCACAAACUAAACCUGUAGAAAGACUUAUGGACAUAUUUUCGGACAGGAGUUCGAUUCUCCUCAUCUCCACCA
RNAcentral lists this transfer-messenger RNA (349 nucleotides) under Clostridia. RNAcentral's name for it is "RGIG8700 sp017622395 Standard tmRNA". It matches the Rfam family "transfer-messenger RNA". From Rfam's summary of the family: Bacterial tmRNA, also known as 10Sa RNA or SsrA, is named for its dual tRNA and mRNA-like properties. Its role is to liberate the mRNA from a stalled ribosome. The record is from RNAcentral. RNAcentral also lists the same sequence under 1 other name. Lineage: Bacteria; Bacillati; Bacillota.